RNAcentral lists this ribosomal RNA (503 nucleotides) under uncultured bacterium. Its description in RNAcentral is "partial 16S ribosomal RNA". It matches the Rfam family "Bacterial small subunit ribosomal RNA", at positions 29 to 523 of the family's 1533-position model. The record is from RNAcentral.
AUUGAACGCUGGCGGCAGGCCUAACACAUGCAAGUCGAACGGUAGCACAGAGAGCUUGCUCUCGGGUGACGAGUGGCGGACGGGUGAGUAACGUCUGGAAACUGCCCGAUGGAGGGGGAUAACUACUGGAAACGGUAGCUAAUACCGCAUAACGUCGCAAGACCAAAGUGGGGGACCUGCGGCCCUCACACCAUCGGAUGUGCCCAGAUGGGAUUAGCUAGUAGGUGGGGUAAUGGCUCACCCAGUCGACGAUCCCUAGCUGGUCUGAGAGGAUGACCAGCCACACUGGAACUGAGACACGGGCCAGACUCCUACGGGAGGCAGCAGUGGGGAAUAUUGCACAAGGGGCGCAAGCCUGAUGCAGCCAUGCCGCGUGUAUGAAGAAGGCCUUCGGGUUGUAAAGUACUUUCAGCGGGGAGGAAGGCGGUGAAGUUAAUAACUUCACCGAUUGACGUUACCCGCAGAAGAAGCACCGGCUAACUCCGUGCCAGCCGCCGCAGUAA